This 277-nucleotide ribosomal RNA is filed under the name uncultured Prevotellaceae bacterium. RNAcentral's name for it is "partial 16S ribosomal RNA". It matches the Rfam family "Bacterial small subunit ribosomal RNA", at positions 511 to 788 of the family's 1533-position model. Lineage: Bacteria; Pseudomonadati; Bacteroidota; Bacteroidia; Bacteroidales; Prevotellaceae. The record is from RNAcentral.
GCAGCCGCGGUAAUACGGAGGAUGCGAGCGUUAUCCGGAUUUAUUGGGUUUAAAGGGAGCGUAGGCGGGAUAUUAAGUCAGUCGUCAAAGCCUGUGGCUCAACCACAGCCCGCGAUUGAUACUGGUAUCCUUGAGUGCAGAUGAGGUGGAUGGAAUUCGUGGUGUAGCGGUGAAAUGCUUAGAUAUCACGAAGAACUCCGAUUGCGAAGGCAGUUCACUGGGCUGCAACUGACGCUGAAGCUCGAAAGUGCGGGGAUCAAACAGGAUUAGAUACCCC